AUUUAAAAUGUUUUGUAAAAUCCAAAAAAUCGAAUUUAUAUAGAAAUUGUUUUUUGUAAAAUCCAAAAAAUCGAAUUUAUAUAGAAAAAUCGUUUUGUAAAAUACAAAAAUCGAUUUUAUAUACAAAAAUCGAUUUUAUAAAUACAAAAAAUAAAAAAAUUAUAAAAAAAUCCUAAAUCAAUUCAACAAAACAAAUUAUUCAACCAAAUCACA
Molecule: long non-coding RNA, 213 nt
Filed under: Brassica napus (rape)
Lineage: Eukaryota; Viridiplantae; Streptophyta; Magnoliopsida; Brassicales; Brassicaceae
Description: long non-coding RNA (BNAP_LNC021938)
Source: RNAcentral